This is a long non-coding RNA of Tribolium castaneum (red flour beetle), 526 nucleotides long. RefSeq lists it as uncharacterized. The record is from RefSeq and is a predicted model, not a curated record. The transcript has 2 exons. NCBI's taxonomy places the organism in Eukaryota, Metazoa, Arthropoda, Insecta, Coleoptera, Tenebrionidae.
AUUACAAGGUUACGAAUCUUAAAGAUUUCGUUAAAAUCUUUUGUAUGAAAUUAAUAAUGUGCUCAAAAAAUGAGUUCAGGCUGUUAUAUUUUUCAAGUAAGAAUCUCAAAAAACAACAUUAAGUGACAAACCUCUUUGUUUCCUACCUUGGAAGUUAGUUAUCUCUCUGAUUAUUUUUUGUUGGUGACAUUUUGUCUAUGUUCUUACACAAUUAUUCAUUUUUCAGUUUAUUUGCUGCUUCGCGAACGGACGGCCGUCUCGUCAGUAAAAUCCGAAUUUUGCGACUCAAGUGUUUCAAAUUUGUUGGUUUGUGUGUGCAAAUGGAAUGGAUUUCUCGGGAGAAAAGAAAAGAAACAAACCGGAUUAAAGGUGGGUCUAUUUAAGAAGAUGAUGCCGUGGGAGUUUUACAAAUGUGAGUGCUUUUUUUUAUUUAUUGCCAAUAAGUGGGGUGUUGAAUACUGAUAUACUGUGUAUUGGUGGUUGCAUUUUACAGGGGUAAACAAUACGUGUAAUACGUCUUAUUUAA